GUCCACGCCCUAAACGAUGAUUACUCGACGUUGGCGAUACACUGAUCAGCGUCCAAGCGAAAGCAUUAAGUAAUCCACCUGGGAAGUACGUUAGCAAGAAUGAAACUCAAAGGAAUUGACGGGGGUCGCACAAGCGGUGGAGCAUGUGGUUUAAUUCGAUGAUACGCGAGGAACCUUACCUGGGCUAGAAUGCUACGUGACCGGUCCUGAAAGGGAUUUUAUAGCAAUAUACACGUAGUAAGGUGCUGCAUGGCUGUCGU
This 260-nucleotide ribosomal RNA is filed under the name uncultured bacterium. Its description in RNAcentral is "partial 16S ribosomal RNA". It matches the Rfam family "Bacterial small subunit ribosomal RNA", at positions 793 to 1055 of the family's 1533-position model. The record is from RNAcentral.